GACGAGGCACUACGGUGCUGAAGCAACAAAUGCCCUGCUUCCAGGAAAAGCCUCUAAGCAUCAGGUAACAUCAAAUCGUACCCCAAACCGACACAGGUGGUCAGGUAGAGAAUACCAAGGCGCUUGAGAGAACUCGGGUGAAGGAACUAGGCAAAAUGGUGCCGUAACUUCGGGAGAAGGCACGCUGACACGUAGGUGAAGUGAUUUACUCAUGGAGCUGAAGUCAGUCGAAGAUACCAGCUGGCUGCAACUGUUUAUUAAAAACACAGCACUGUGCAAACACGAAAGUGGACGUAUACGGUGUGACGCCUGCCCGGUGCCGGAAGGUUAAUUGAUGGGGUCAGCGCAAGCGAAGCUCCUGAUCGAAGCCCCGGUAAACGGCGGCCGUAACUAUAACGGUCCUAAGGUAGCGAAAUUCCUUGUCGGGUAAGUUCCGACCUGCACGAAUGGCGUAAUGAUGGCCAGGCUGUCUCCACCCGAGACUCAGUGAAAUUGAACUCGCUGUGAAGAUGCAGUGUACCCGCGGCAAGACGGAAAGACCCCGUGAACCUUUACUAUAGCUUGACACUGAACAUUGAGCCUUGAUGUGUAGGAUAGGUGGGAGGCUUUGAAGCGUGGACGCCAGUCUGCGUGGAGCCGACCUUGAAAUACCACCCUUUAAUGUUUGAUGUUCUAACGUGGACCCGUAAUCCGGGUUGCGGACAGUGUCUGGUGGGUAGUUUGACUGGGGCGGUCUCCUCCUAAAGAGUAACGGAGGAGCACGAAGGUUGGCUAAUCCUGGUCGGACAUCAGGAGGUUAGUGCAAUGGCAUAAGCCAGCUUGACUGCGAGCGUGACGGCGCGAGCAGGUGCGAAAGCAGGUCAUAGUGAUCCGGUGGUUCUGAAUGGAAGGGCCAUCGCUCAACGGAUAAAAGGUACUCCGGGGAUAACAGGCUGAUACCGCCCAAGAGUUCAUAUCGACGGCGGUGUUUGGCACCUCGAUGUCGGCUCAUCACAUCCUGGGGCUGAAGUAGGUCCCAAGGGUAUGGCUGUUCGCCAUUUAAAGUGGUACGCGAGCUGGGUUUAGAACGUCGUGAGACAGUUCGGUCCCUAUCUGCCGUGGGCGCUGGAGAACUGAGGGGGGCUGCUCCUAGUACGAGAGGACCGGAGUGGACGCAUCACUGGUGUUCGGGUUGUCAUGCCAAUGGCACUGCCCGGUAGCUAAAUGCGGAAGAGAUAAGUGCUGAAAGCAUCUAAGCACGAAACUUGCCCCGAGAUGAGUUCUCCCUGAGACUUAGAGUCUCCUGAAGGAACGUUGAAGACGACGACGUUGAUAGGCCGGGUGUGUAAGCGCAGCGAUGCGUUGAGCUAACCGGUACUAAUGAACCGUGAGGCUUAACCUUACAACGCCGAAG
Molecule: ribosomal RNA, 1393 nt
Filed under: Salmonella enterica subsp. enterica serovar Thompson
Lineage: Bacteria; Pseudomonadati; Pseudomonadota; Gammaproteobacteria; Enterobacterales; Enterobacteriaceae
Also listed under: 2 other names
Description: bacterial LSU rRNA
Rfam family: Bacterial large subunit ribosomal RNA
Source: RNAcentral